CAAGGAGUCUAACAUGUGCGCAAAGUCGUUAGGUGUAUUAAAACCUAUAGGCGAAAACGAAAAGUAAAAGAAAAGCUUUGCUUUAUAAGGAAGGAUGGUUCUAUUCAGAAUACUUGAAUAAACCCGCACUUCUGGGGCGUCUAUUACUCUUUUUGAGUAAAGGGGCACCUAGAGCGUACACGUUGGGACCCGAAAGAUGGUGAACUAUGCAAGACCAGGAUGAAGCCAGGGGAAACCCUGGUGGAGGUCCGUAGCGAUUCUGACGUGCAAAUCGAUCGUCAGAGUUUUGUAUAGGGGCGAAAGACUUAUCGAAUUAUCUAGUAGCUGGUUCCCUCCGAAGUUUCUCUCAGGAUAGCUGGUGCCAAUGAUGAGAAGAGUCUCAUCCGGUAAAGCGAAUGAUUAGAGGCCUUGGGGCCGAAACGACCUCAACCUAUUCUCAAACUUUAAAUGGAUGAGAGCCUUGGCUUGCUUAAAAAGUGAAGCCGGGGAUUUGGAUCUAGGUACCAAGUGGGCCAAUUUUGGUAAG
This 526-nucleotide ribosomal RNA is filed under the name Chinannus trinitatis. RNAcentral's name for it is "eukaryotic LSU rRNA". It matches the Rfam family "Eukaryotic large subunit ribosomal RNA", at positions 667 to 1144 of the family's 3401-position model. The record is from RNAcentral. Lineage: Eukaryota; Metazoa; Arthropoda; Insecta; Hemiptera; Schizopteridae.